AUGUGUUUGCCUGAAACUGUGAGUGAAGUCUUGGAUGUUGCAGCUGCUUCUGCCCAUGAGGAGAACUUAGACAGUGUCAAGGAAGGAGUAGCCUCAGCAGCUCAAGAGAUGUCUGACACAGCCACGAGGAGCCAGGACGCUGAUGCUGAGGAGUCGGGGAGAGCUUCAGAAGUUUCUGAGGAGGAGAAGGCACCUGAAGAAGUCGCUAAGGAACCCUAAAGGUACACAGCACAAUUGCAGCAGGAGGUUUCUUGCAAUCCCCCUUUCUGUCUUUCCCUGGUAGUGGCAAUUGCGGCAUGUGGAAAGUCUGCAUGUGCACUCUGGUGGAUUUGCAUUUCCACACACAACAAUGGCCCAGAAAAAAAAAAAAAAAAAAAAAAAAAAAAAAAACAAGAAAAAAGAAAAAAGGAGAAAAAAGUAGUAUUUCUUACUGUUUAAGAAUCAUUGUUAGCAUCUUUUAGAUGCCUAGGGAGCAGAACUUUCUCAGUUCUCAAUCUGAACUAUUUAUUCAUGGUUAUUUAUUCAUGGCUUUAUCUUCCAUGCAGACUGGAUUAAGACAUGAGUCACUUUUUUUUUUUUCUAGGCAAAAAUUGUUCUUUGAAUGCUGAUUUAAAUUAUAGAGAUAAUUAGCUCAUACAGAUGAACU
Molecule: long non-coding RNA, 646 nt
Filed under: Phasianus colchicus (ring-necked pheasant)
Lineage: Eukaryota; Metazoa; Chordata; Aves; Galliformes; Phasianidae
Description: lncRNA (ENSPCLG00000003101.1)
Source: RNAcentral